UAGGUGAGAUGGGUUAAUGACAGAUGGAUCUCCCUAGAAUGUGAAGAAAACCAAAACAAAUAAUUACACCGAUGACCACGGCAAACCUGCACAGCUGUGAAAGCAGAUGCUGAGUCUGACAAAACUGAAGUUUGCAGAUGUCAAGUCUUGCACUGCGUUUGAUCCUGAUCCACAUUUCCCUCCUAUCUGUCCACUCUUUCUAUUGCCUUCAUUGCUAUUUCUGUGUCCAAACUUAGAUGACGUUUCUUCAGGAUAUGGACUACAGCCUACCUGUAUCUUACUAAGUCUGCAAAUUGCACUGGCAAAUUGAGGCACUUCAUUUGGGCCAAAUUCACCCCAGACAUUCCAUAGGACUAAUAGGAGAUGAGUGUAAGGUCUGAGCUGCCUAUUCCUUUCUCUUAAUAGUUAAGAAACAUAAGCUCUUAACAAAGGCAUUUCAAUUAAGUACCUAAAGUUAGGUGGGCUGAAUCAGGCCUACGCCUUUUAUACACUUGAUGUAAUGUUGUAAUAGUGGAGGAUUAAGAGAGUUAUUUAUGGAGGGAAUUUCUACACUUACACUCUGAUUAGAAUGCAGGAGACUGAUACUUUCUGUUACUUCAUGUGCGAAGUCACAUCUCUCUGAAAUCCUCCAAAAGGUAAGAUGAGGAAUAUAUCCAAAAUGACAGUUUUCAUUUUGUAGUUAGAGGCAUGUGCUAUGAGGGGCACUUCUUUCUCACUUUGAGGUUUUGCAGGAAUUAGUUUACUUAACAUUAGGCCAGAUUAAAAAAAAAAAAAGCUGCUGCUUAUAUUCCUUAUCUAGUCUAUAGAAGCUUCCAAAUUCUGCAAGCUCUCUGCUGCUGCUUUCUUCUUAGCAGUGCCACCAGAGUGCCACCCUAAGGCGCUUGCUUCAGAGAGUUAGGGAUAGAAAUUUACACCCCAGCUUUUGAAAGUGUGUAUUUUUGUUAAUGUAGUGCAUCACAGUUUUGGUGUACAUGUGCAAAUGUAGUUUGCAUGUAUGUUACUAUAUCUGCACAUACAGCAUGCAUCUGUACUACCUGCUAGAAGGGGACUGAUUCUUAUGGCUUUUGGAAGAGCUACUAGUUCCUUACCUGGGAGUUGCACUGACUUUUUGAUUCUGUGUCCAUGGCAAAGAGUUUUUCAAUCACCUCAAUCUUAAGAUCUUCAUCCACAGAACUGUAAUAAUCUCCUGGGCUGCUUGGCUGCACAGAAAUAAGAAUUUGCUAUAGGCACCAAGACAACCACGGUAUUGGCUAGCAUCAUGCAGUUUAUACUAUGCUAUUCAGUAGCAGAUCUCUCCUGUGAUACCAGACUAUAUAUAGUGUCGUCAGAACCCAAAACUGUCCACUUCUAUCAUAUGCUUUUCUCCAACACUUGAUGACUUGUCACAACAAAAUUUGAGAGCUAUACUGAUUAACAAGGGCACCCAAUACAGGAACCUAAUUGUCAUCUUAGUUUGUAUGGGGUUUUUGGCAACUCAGGCCAGCAACAUGAGAUGUACACUAUUAAAUACUUGUGUGAAGAAGGGAGACAGUUAACACUACACCUCAAUGUCUUGAUUAAAAUUGGACCAUCCUCUAAUAAAGGCCGGCUAAGAGUGGCUCUAGCUCUUGGGGACAGUGCCCUGAAAGCACAUUCAUUCUUUCAGUGAGGAACGCCAUGGAACUGCUCUUAAAAGCUUGAGUUGGGUAAAGUUUCUGGACUUAAGACUAUAGAUUCUAGUUAAGAAACAGAGAGGCCAUAUGGGUCUGGGUCGAUGGUGCUAGUGACCACACACCAUUUUACACUGUUUUGUUUUAUUUAAGGCUAACUCCAUGAAAGGUAGUAGCAUGUUCUUCUACUAGUUGUUUUAUAGGUCAUAUUAAUUACUGAGGGACAGCUGGGAGAAAAUGAAGAUUGAAACGUAAAGGCAGGAUAUAGUUCUCAUCUGUUUCUGCUGUUGAUGCUUAAGAUAUAUGCAGUACAGGAGGGAUACAGAUCCACUGGGCCUCGUUAAUAAGCAAUGAGACAGGACUGCUAACAUGAAAAUAUCAUCUACGUAUAUUGAUGUGACUUACAUACAAAAUAUUACAUGCAGUUUUUUAAAGCUCUUCUUACCGUGGAACAGCUACUGUUGCUGCUUGCACUUGGAGUACUGUUGCCAGGUGCAAUCUGAGGCAUUGUAAAGGAUGGUAUCGUCAGUGUUUCACCUUGAGCAGUGUGGCUUUUCACUUCCACUGGCCAUGCCUUAUUAGGUGUCAAAACAGCACUGGUGAAGGCAGGGGCUUCCUCAAACUUCUGUGUCCCUGCAUGGAGUUUUAACAAUAUUAAUGGAUGCUUUUAGGUUGUGCUGAGUUAUAAUUGCAGCUAUUCCCUGAAAGUAAACACUGCUCCUAGUUGCUAUGACAAUAAGUUGGCAUAGACUUAAUGCAUGUUGUUUAGUCAGCAAGAAAGCCCGAUUCUGCUCUCAUUCACAGAAAUUUUCCACUGGCGUGAGCACGUGAGCUCUUAUAGCCAUUACUCCUGAUUUGUACACACAGCAAACAGACCUUGUCUGUUAAGUUUCUAAAUAUAGGCUCAUAUGUGGUUCUUUGCUGCACAAAAAUUAUUUAUACAAGUACUAACCAAAAUCCAGGGAAAUAAUGGCAUCGCCAGGUGUUGGUGCCAGCUGAGCAAGUUCCUCUGGUUCCUCCUUUAACUUAGUAAACAAGAAGUCGCUCUUCUCUGUGCCAGGGAUGCCGCUCUCAUAGGUGGUGCCCAUUGUCAGCAGGUGAGGCUUGAAGAGUGAUUCUGUUUGGUCCAUGGAGAACACAACGUCGUUCUUCUCAAUUUCACUAACAAGAAAAUAGGUUUUAGGUAUUUUGCACUCAAAAAAGAAAAAAGUAGGCAGUACAAACUGUCUAAAGCUGGGGCCCAUACAAGCGUUUUGGCCUCUCUCAGUCGCACGCCAGGUUCUCGACAGGCGAGGCACAGUUCCAGCGUUGCUGAGCACCACCAUCUCAGAUGACGCAGAGAGUGUGUUCAGGACUUCUGUGGAAUACUCAGGGCUUUGUUGCUCUGCUUUUUAAAGGGAUGUAAUCGAGGCUGUAAUGACCCAGACUAUCACUCAAACAAGUAUUUCCUAUUUUGGCCCCAUCUAGGACCAAAAAUACUUGAGUUUUGCCAGACGGAGGCAAAACUCCUGAUUGGUCCUGAUUUUUGAGGCAGAAACCAGCUUCUCCUAGCAACAGAAGAUACAAUUACUACUUAAUUUUAUCUCUGUGUCACAGCAUUAGACAAACAAAACAUAUUAGCAGUUGUGUUACACAAUAAAACCUUCAGUGCAGGCUUUAUACGCUGUUGUAUCAGCAGAGCAGCCACUAUGCAGAAGAGAGAGGCUGUGGUGUAUUUCAACAGCAUGUAUGGGAAUGGGCAUGCCACAUUUUUCAUCGAUGGCUAACAAACAUGACUAAACGGAUUUCAGAAUAACAACACCGAAUAAAUAGACCCUUCAUAAGUUCCUCUGAUUAUUGCAUUUCUUCCAGCACAUGCAUCCAUACAUGGUUUUCCUGUGCCAUACAACUUACCUCAGCACAUAGUUGACACAGACGAUACACUGAGGCUGUAGGUUGCGCGUAUUGUAAAUCACCGUUCCUUGAGUCUCCAGCCAUACGUAUCCGCCAUGCUUGGCAAGCAUACGGUACUGGCCCGUCACUACUUGACCUUUUGUACACACUGAGAAAAGGGGGCAGAGAGAAAUAAAUAAUGCAGCGGGACAGGAACGCACGAUAUGUAACACUUGUUUUAAAUAAACCCGAUUCUGAGUUUUUAUUCCGCAAAACUACACUAAGACAUUUGUUAGCAAGGAUGCUUAACUUUAGGAAAAUUUAGCCAUUUUAAAUAUAAAAUGGGCUGCUAAUUUGCGGUCUCAAGAUGCCUGGCAUUUGAGUUCUUUAGAUGGUCUGAGUACUCAGAUCAGAGUGUGGGUUGUUUAGUUGUGGGGGUUUUUUGGGGUUGGUGUUUUUUUUUGGUUUUUUGGCUUUUUUUUGCAUGUAAUGUAAGAUCCUAAGUGCCCCCAAAACAAUGCUCGCUGACCCAUGUGACAAAUCAAAUGUUUACUUAAGUCAAAAUGUAUUUUUGAACUAGCCUGUGUUUCUCAACCAAGGAACUGACAAUAGUACAGCUCGGGUUUAAAGCUUCAUCUAGAUGUCUAAAGGGUUAAAUCCCCCCCGUCAAUAUUUUGUAAUAUUUGAAGAGAAUGAGUUUUCAAUAUGGAGCUUUGGACUUGAGAUGUAAAGUUUUAUGAUUAUGUUUUUUGCCUGAGGACAGUAUGCCAUGAAACUAAUGCCCUAAAAAUAACGCGGUUUGACUUAGUAAGGCUGGAAAUUUGAUUCUGCAUUCUUUGUACAGAAAAAUUCCUUGUGAAUGUGGCCAUUAACAGAAGCUAUUUAUUGUCAGUCUCCCCUACUUAGCCACCAUACAAAUGUACAAAUCCGGGCCUGUGAAAUGCAACAACUGUUUUGCAGAUAAUUGUUGCUGUGUUUAUCCCUCUAUCUCUGAAGUUUGUUUGUUUUCUUGCUAGGAGUAUUUAAUCAUCCUUCAUUUAAUUUAUUUAGACAAAGUAGAACAUUACUUUUAUUGAUUAAAUACUUCUGGUGGAACAAAAUCAAAAGGCUUUCAUUUCAAAGUGUUUUAGUGACUGGACUGUUCUGCUUUGCUUGUGAAACAUAAUUACACUGCUUCCUAAUCAUCAGCUCAUCAAUAAGAGUCACAGUGUAGGCGCCUGUUACAUUACAAAGAAGCUUUUUACUGCUUUAAUCUUUUUUAUUAUUAUUAUUCAAAGCAUGUCACGUUCUGAUAUAAUAAAGUACAGCAGAAUCCCUCCAUGGGGAAAUCUCAUAAGUUACUAAUACACGCAUAACUACUGACUUUGCCAUCAGUGCUACAUUUAAGGUUCUACCUUCAGAGUGAAUUUUUUUUUUCGUAAGUAUACAUUACCUGUAUCUUUACCGAACUAGUAAUAUCUCAAUGAAAUAGGCUCCGAUUAUAUUCCUUAACUUUGGGUGGAGGAAGGGGGAAGGCACGGUUGAAUUUAAUUGAACACAAAAUUUGUUUUUUAAUUGCUGAGACACACUUGAGAAAUAUGAUUCACUUGGAAGGCUUGUCAAACUUCUGCUACAUACUACCAAGUGGCGGGUCCCAGAUGGUGACAUUCAGCGCCCCACUGAAGGCAAUAGCAAAAUUCCCAUUGGCUUUAAUGGCAACAAGACCAGAGUCUAAAUGGAAGCGAUUAUAGAUUAUUAAUUGCUGAAUUGGAAAAUAGAGCUCUAUGGUCAAUCUUUUGUGUAGAUUUAUGUAACAAGACAGAGAUUUUAAUCUUGUUCGCAUAAAGUGUGAAAAACUGGGUAUGCUAAAUAUUGCCAAAUGCAUUCUAGUCUUCCAUUUGAUGGUGACUAAUUAAGACUUUCGUACUCUAUAUGCACUAUACUUCCAGCCAAGAACACAAACACUAUUGUGGCUUGCUUGAAUGUGAGGUUAUUUCACCUCAAGAAAAAAAGAAAAAAAACCAACCCUGCAGUACAGUAAAACUGCAAUAAGCCUGAUUUAUCAUUAAAUUAGAAGGAAAGAAAGGGAAGGAGUUCUGCUUCUAUGCAAGAGACUAAUUUGAGGUUUUUCUCCCUCUCUCUCUUCAAACUUCAUACUCUUUCCUCUAUUUCCUAUGCAUCUUUACAACACUAAAUGGUUGGCACUGUCAAAAUUGAUGACUGUAUUACUGCAUGAAUAUAUACUCUAUACAUAGCACAUUUCUAAUAAAAACUACUGUUUAAUCAAUACAA
Non-coding RNA from Phalacrocorax carbo (great cormorant), 5792 nucleotides. The record is from RefSeq and is a predicted model, not a curated record. NCBI's taxonomy places the organism in Eukaryota, Metazoa, Chordata, Aves, Suliformes, Phalacrocoracidae.